AGACUGAGCAGUGGAAGGUGAAGGAACAUUAGGCUAAUCUUAUGCUGACUAAUCUACUUGCUCAUCAGGAUCAACAUGCUGACAUAAGUGAUCUGGCUGAGACCAUCUAGAUGGAGCACCUCUGCAUCCAUUGCCUCGCAUCCUGGAGGGAAGAGAGAGACAGAGAGAGCCAAGCAAAGGAGAGAUAGGGAAGGAGAGUUAGAUCGAGACCCGCAAAUGGACGCUUCGAGCAUGGGACUGAACCUCUAACAAUGAUUGCAACAAGGUGGCGAACAGCAGAUGGUCUUUUGGGCUCCCAGUCGGUGACGCUUC
Molecule: unclassified non-coding RNA, 312 nt
Filed under: Hevea brasiliensis (rubber tree)
Lineage: Eukaryota; Viridiplantae; Streptophyta; Magnoliopsida; Malpighiales; Euphorbiaceae
Source: RNAcentral